UUAAAUGGCAGCCCAGUGACCCAGGCUGGCUCAGCAGACUUGUUUGGUUUAGCCAACCGUGUUUUAAAUGCUUGAUGCAACAUUUUUAAGUUGGGAGAGUUCACAUAAAAAUGCAGAUUUGGGGGGCUCUCUUGGAAUAGAUGUGGCAAUACUGGACCUGCCUUUCCCACACAGCACUUCACUGCCUGAAGCUGUGACAGCUGCCUGCUUUAGAUGCACCACGUUCCACCCAGUCUGCCACCCCCCCACCCCCGCACUGCCAGCAGGUGCAGAUGUGGGCACCUGUAGCCCGGAUGACAGGGCCUGGGAUCUGACUGGCUCCUGAAGGAACCUGUGACCUCAAAAUACAUGAACACCCACCCGAGGGCGAUGCUCAUCCCAUCGUUUACUCCGAUUUUUAGCAACCUGGUGAGAUGAGAAUUGUUUCCAUCUUCUAAGAGGAUGCAAGGAGGUGUCCCAUGAACCCCUAGGAUCUCAGCAGGAAUUCAAACCCAAGUCGACCUGCCUGGAAGCCUGGGCUUUUGUUCUUAGCCAGACUGUCUCCACUGCCACUGACUGCCAAGCUCUCCUUGUGUCUGAAGGACGUUGUGACUUCCUUGUUACGUCACCCACUCAGUCACAGUUGGGCUGAGAGCAGAGUGUGGCCCGGCCCCCCAGGUCCCCAGGGCAGCCCUGCCAGCCCGGCACAGGCAGGCCCGGCUUAGUCACACACACACCAUGAAGUACCCGCUGGUGCCACUGGUGGACGACCUCACGUUUUCUUUCCUGGUGUUCUGGCUCUGCCUGCCCGUGGGCUUGCUGUUGGUCUUGCUGAUCGUCUGGCUACGCUUCUUACUUAGCCAAGAAUAACCCUGCGAAGUAAUCCUUAUCGUACAAUUGAGGAAACUGAGGCUUGGGGAGAGAAGCAACGUGCCCAGGUCACACACCUGUGAAGUACUUACGAGUGCCGGUUAUCUGGCGUCACCUCCUGCCUCUGCUGCCUACCAGCUCUGUGACUUGGGGCAAGUCCUCUCAGCCUUGGGUUCCUCAUCGACAGAAUGGAGAUAAUAAGGGCCCCUUCCAUUUGGGGCUGUGGAGAGAGCAUGUCGCGGGUAGGGCAUCCAGUGCAUGUACACACGUGGCACAUAGUAGGUGCUUAUAGGCUGAGAAAUUAUCCAGUCAGUGUUUACUUUUCAUCAUGGUAGGAGGACAUAUAGGCAUGGCUUUGGAUGGCUUCUCCGAGGAGACACCUUACCUAAGGUCUAGGGUACUAAUCUCCAGCACUCCAUUCUCCUUGAAGGCCCUGCUCUAAAACCAUCCACAGCCUUCCCUGUCCUCAGACUUUCUCCGACAUCUCACACGGCCCCUUGCAAUAAGGCCUUUGGUCAUUUGCAAUGACCAGAAUGUGGGGCGAGCAGUCUUCCCUCAGGGUCCCAGUCUUCUUGGAACUCUUAGAGUUACUGCAUCGGUCCUGUCCUUGUGCCAGGGUCUGGGCCUGCCAAGAAUUGAGGGACCUGUUCUCAGGACACCCUGGCCUGUGCUCUUCUAUUCUGCUGUGGAUCUUGUUAUUGGAACUCGUUUGGCCUGGAAUCCGGUGUGAAAAGCAGACAGGACUGGCUCUGAUUCCUCCUUCCCACCCCCAUCCGGCCUGGCUCAGCAGGGCAGUGCCAGGGCCCAGAAGGCAGACGGUUUGAGCAGGGAGUGCCACGUGGCCCGUGAGGACGUGCCUUCUCAAGUAGACUGGGGAGCAAGGGGAGGAGAAGGGAACCGCCUGGCAAGAUGGCCGUUGAGGCGAGAAAAGGUUGUGGGUGGCUGAGCCCUGCAGAAGCUGGCCAGUGGGGACCACACUAAUCCUGGACCAUGACAUUAAGAGAGAGGAUGAAGCCACAUGGUGCCCUUCAAGCGGAAGGUGCUCUGCUGAGGACGUUUCCUUUGUGAUUGGAAAGGACUUUGCAGAAGGAAGAAGAGAAACCUCCAAAGAGAUGGAUUUAAGGCCGAAAUGCGCCUUUUGAGGGUCCUGCCCACCCUCGUGGUGGUCCUCGGAGCGAGGUGUUAAAUCCAAAGCUACCUUUGAAUUCCCUGACCUCAAACAAGUGCACCUGCUGAAACUGCGGAGGGCUCUCUUCAGCCUCCUUUACUUUUCUGCAACCAGCGAAACAUCUUACAAGUACAGGAAGAGAAAGAACCUCCCCCAUCUCCUCUCCUUUCUCCUCGACCUCACCUUCUCGAGACAAGCCGUGUUCACAAGCUCAUGCUCCUAUUUAAUAACACACGUAGGUUUUCCAAAAAAUUGGAGAGGGGGCAGGAUUGUUAGCUUGGUUUUCAGAAAAAGGGAGGAGAUCCUCCUAUAUACAUUUCUCUGAAACUUGCUUGUAAUGUAUCAUAGACCUCCUGCAAGUCGAAAGCUACAGAUUUCAUGCAAUUGUUUUAACAGCUUCUGACUUGCUGUUGGAUAGAUGGGCCAGCUCUUUAUGUGGUGCAAUGUGCUACACUUCAGUCAACCAGAUCUCUCAUGAUGGACACACACACAGUUUCCAGGGUGUUUUAUUGCUUGUGCAUGCUUCACCACAAAACAGUGCUGCAGUGGAAAUCAUUGCAUGUAUACACUCAGAUAUUUGUUAAUAAAUGGACUGGUGGACAAAUGGAUGGAUGGGUCAUUGUUGGAUUUGUGUCUCCUCAGUGCCGUUCUUGGACCACACCCAAUACAGAUUCAGAGGAAGACAACUCAGAUUUAUGCUUUGAGUGGGAGCCCUGGAGCAAAGGCCCAGCCCAGUUUUGCUGGGAGGGGACACUGUAUAGCCAAGAGGAGGAAGAGCCCUGCUGGU
This is an RNA transcript of Leopardus geoffroyi (Geoffroy's cat), 2804 nucleotides long. It is a transcript of the gene named adipogenin, with no coding region annotated. NCBI's taxonomy places the organism in Eukaryota, Metazoa, Chordata, Mammalia, Carnivora, Felidae. The transcript has 3 exons. The record is from RefSeq and is a predicted model, not a curated record.